AUUUUUUGGAGAGUUUGAUCCUGGCUCAGGACGAACGCUGGCGGCGUGCUUAACACAUGCAAGUCGAGCGGAAAGGCCCUUCGGGGUACUCGAGCGGCGAACGGGUGAGUAACACGUGAGCAACCUGCCCCCGACUCUGGGAUAAGCCCGGGAAACUGGGUCUAAUACCGGAUAUGACCACCGUCCGCAUGGGCUGGUGGUGGAAAGUUUUUCGGUUGGGGAU
This 223-nucleotide ribosomal RNA is filed under the name Nonomuraea maritima. RNAcentral describes it as "16S rRNA. Bacterial SSU". It matches the Rfam family "Bacterial small subunit ribosomal RNA", at positions 1 to 226 of the family's 1533-position model. Lineage: Bacteria; Bacillati; Actinomycetota; Actinomycetes; Streptosporangiales; Streptosporangiaceae. The record is from RNAcentral.